UGCCAGCAGCCGCGGUAAGACGGAGGGUGCAAACGUUGUUCGGAAUCACUGGGCAUAAAGCGCACGUAGGCGGCUAAGUCAGUUCGGUGUGAAAGCCCCCGGCUCAACCGGGGAACGGCACCGAAUACUACUUGGCUUGAGGACGGUUGGGGUAAGUGGAACUCCUGGUGGAGCGGUGAAAUGCGUAGAUAUCAGGAGGAACACCAGUGGCGAAAGCGGCUUACUGGACCGUAUCUGACGCUGAGGUGCGAAAGCUAGGGUAGCGAACGGGAUUAGAUA
This 279-nucleotide ribosomal RNA is filed under the name uncultured bacterium. Its description in RNAcentral is "partial 16S ribosomal RNA". It matches the Rfam family "Bacterial small subunit ribosomal RNA", at positions 506 to 784 of the family's 1533-position model. The record is from RNAcentral.